RNAcentral lists this ribosomal RNA (417 nucleotides) under uncultured bacterium. RNAcentral describes it as "bacterial SSU rRNA". It matches the Rfam family "Bacterial small subunit ribosomal RNA", at positions 362 to 776 of the family's 1533-position model. The record is from RNAcentral.
UAUUGGACAAUGGCCGAGAGGCUGAUCCAGCCAUGCCGCGUGCAGGAUGACUGCCCUAUGGGUUGUAAACUGCUUUUAUACGGGAAGAAACCCCCCCACGUGUGGGGGGCUGACGGUACCGUAAGAAUAAGGACCGGCUAACUCCGUUCCAGCAGCCGCGGUAAUACGGAGGGUCCGAGCGUUAUCCGGAAUCAUUGGGUUUAAAGGGUCCGUAGGCGGGCCGUUAAGUCAGGGGUGAAAGUCUGCGGCUCAACCGUAGAAUUGCCUUUGAUACUGGCGGUCUUGAGUCAUGGUGGGGUUGCCGGAACAUGUGGUGUAGCGGUGAAAUGCAUAGAUAUCACAUAGAACACCGAUCGCGAAGGCAGGUGACCAACCAUGAACUGACGCUGAUGGACGAAAGCGUGGGUAGCGAACGGG